GUGCUCGCUUCGGCAGCACAUAUACUAAAAUUGGAACAAUACAGAGAAGGUUCGUAUGGCCCCUGCACAAGGAUGACAUGCAAAUUCCUGAAGCAUUCCAUAUUUAA
Small nuclear RNA from Delphinapterus leucas (beluga whale), 107 nucleotides. The record is from Ensembl. Lineage: Eukaryota; Metazoa; Chordata; Mammalia; Artiodactyla; Monodontidae.